Molecule: ribosomal RNA, 497 nt
Filed under: uncultured bacterium
Lineage: Bacteria
Description: partial 16S ribosomal RNA
Rfam family: Bacterial small subunit ribosomal RNA
Source: RNAcentral
GAUGAACGCUGGCGGCGUGCCUAAUACAUGCAAGUCGAGCGAACAGACGAGGAGCUUGCUCCUCUGACGUUAGCGGCGGACGGGUGAGUAACACGUGGAUAACCUACCUAUAAGACUGGGAUAACUUCGGGAAACCGGAGCUAAUACCGGAUAAUAUAUUGAACCGCAUGGUUCAAUAGUGAAAGACGGUUUUGCUGUCACUUAUAGAUGGAUCCGCGCCGCAUUAGCUAGUUGGUAAGGUAACGGCUUACCAAGGCAACGAUGCGUAGCCGACCUGAGAGGGUGAUCAGCCACACUGGAACUGAGACACGGUCCAGACUCCUACGGGAGGCAGCAGUAGGGAAUCUUCCGCAAAGGGCGAAAGCCUGACGGAGCAACGCCGCGUGAGUGAUGAAGGUCUUCGGACCGUAAAACUCUGUUAUUAGGGAAGAACAAAUGUGUAAGUAACUAUGCACGUCUUGACGGUACCUAAUCAGAAAGCCACGGCUAACUACGUG